RNAcentral lists this transfer RNA (67 nucleotides) under Anguloclavus sp. 1 MNHN IM 2013-19732. RNAcentral describes it as "tRNA-Asn". Lineage: Eukaryota; Metazoa; Mollusca; Gastropoda; Neogastropoda; Drilliidae. The record is from RNAcentral.
UAAAUGAAAGCCAAAAUAAGAGGCACCUAGCUGUUAAUUAGGAGAUUGUAGGUUUCUACUCAUUUAG